AGCGGCGAACGGGUGAGUAACACGUAGGUGAUCUGCCCAUCAGACGGGGACAACGAUUGGAAACGAUCGCUAAUACCGGAUAGGACGAAAGUUUAAAGGUGCUUCUGGCACCGCUGAUGGAUGAGCCUGCGGCGCAUUAGCUAGUUGGUAGGGUAAAGGCCUACCAAGGCGACGAUGCGUAGCCGACCUGAGAGGGUGAACGGCCACACUGGGACUGAGACACGGCCCAGACUCCUACGGGAGGCAGCAGUAGGGAAUCUUCGGCAAUGGGCGAAAGCCUGACCGAGCAACGCCGCGUGAAUGAUGAAGGCCUUCGGGUUGUAAAAUUCUGUUAUAAGGGAAGAACGACUUUAGUAGGAAAUGGCUAGAGUGUGACGGUACCUUAUGAGAAAGCCACGGCUAACUACGUGUCAGCAGCCGCGGUAAUACGUAGGUGGCGAGCGUUAUCCGGAAUUAUUGGGCGUAAAGAGCGCGCAGGUGGUUGAUUAAGUCUGAUGUGAAAGCCCACGGCUUAACCGUGGAGGGUCAUUGGAAACUGGUCGACUUGAGUGCAGAAGAGGGAAGUGGAAUUCCAUGUGUAGCGGUGAAAUGCGUAGAGAUAUGGAGGAACACCAGUGGCGAAGGCGGCUUCCUGGUCUGUAACUGACACUGAGGCGCGAAAGCGUGGGGAGCAAACAGGAUUAGAUACCCUGGUAGUCCACGCCGUACACGAUGAGUGCUAAGUGU
RNAcentral lists this ribosomal RNA (726 nucleotides) under uncultured bacterium. RNAcentral's name for it is "bacterial SSU rRNA". It matches the Rfam family "Bacterial small subunit ribosomal RNA", at positions 94 to 823 of the family's 1533-position model. The record is from RNAcentral.